GCUUCAUUCAAAUAUCUGCCCUAUCAACUUUCGAUGGUAGGAUAGUGGCCUACCAUGGUUUUAACGGGUAACGGGGAAUAAAGGGUUGGAUUCCGGGAGGGAGCCUGAGAAACGGCUACCACAUCCAAGGAAGGCAGCAGGCGCGCAAAUUACCCAAUCCCGACCGGGGAGGUAGUGACAAUAAAUAACAAUAUAGGGCUCUUUUGGGUCUUAUAAUUGGAAUGAGUACAAUUUAAACCCCUUAACGAGGAACAAUUGGAGGGCAAGUCUGGUGCCAGCAGCCGCGGUAAUUCCAGCUCCAAUAGCGUAUAUUAAAGUUGUUGCAGUUAAAAAGCUCGUAGUUG
Molecule: ribosomal RNA, 344 nt
Filed under: uncultured fungus
Lineage: Eukaryota; Fungi
Description: SSU rRNA
Rfam family: Eukaryotic small subunit ribosomal RNA
Source: RNAcentral